GUGUCAGCCGCCGCGGUAAAACCAGCACCUCAAGUGGUCAGGAGGAUUAUUGGGCCUAAAGCAUCCGUAGCCUGCCGUGUAAGUUUUCGGUUAAAUCUAUGCGCUCAACGCAUAGGCUGCCGGAAAUACUGCACGGCUAGGGAGUGGGAGAGGUAGACGGUACUCGGUAGGAAGGGGUAAAAUCCUUUGAUCUAUCGAUGACCCCCUGUGGCGAAGGCGGUCUACUAGAACACGUCCGACGGUGAGGGAUGAAAGCUGGGGGAGCAAACCGGAUUAGAUACCCGGGUAGUCC
This 292-nucleotide ribosomal RNA is filed under the name uncultured prokaryote. Its description in RNAcentral is "partial 16S ribosomal RNA". It matches the Rfam family "Archaeal small subunit ribosomal RNA", at positions 455 to 747 of the family's 1478-position model. The record is from RNAcentral.